Molecule: long non-coding RNA, 608 nt
Filed under: Homo sapiens (human)
Lineage: Eukaryota; Metazoa; Chordata; Mammalia; Primates; Hominidae
Description: non-protein coding lnc-LIMS2-4:1
Source: RNAcentral
CGCAUGCCUGCCCGCCCGCCAGCCUGCCGGGUACGGCCUUUUCCGCCGGGGCUUCCAGGUCAAAGAAUUCGCCUUUGCCGCUACCGCUUUCUUACCCUCCGCACCCGUUAAGUUCUCCGGUCGGGCGGCAGUCUCUGAACACUUAGCCGCGCCAUCCGGGGUCACACCGCCUGGAAGGAGGUGACGGGGGCGGCGCGGGGCGCGGACACUCCCCGCUGAGAGUCCGCCUGCCAUGGACUCGGAAUAUUACAGCGGCGACCAGUCAGAUGAUGGUGGUGCUACCCCAGUACAGGAUGAACGGGAUUCAGGGUCAGACGGUGAGGAUGAUGUAAAUGAGCAACACUCCGGAUCAGACACUGGAAGUGUAGAACGUCAUUCAGAGGGUUACUAGACACAGGACCGUGACUACUAAUGAAACUAGUGAUCGAGAAGAUGGCCUCCCCAAAGGACAUCAUGUGACAGACUCUGAGAACGAUGAGCCCUUAAAUCUUAAUGCUAGUGACUCUGAAAGUGAGGAGCUUCACAGGCAAAAGGACAGCGACUCUGAAUCUGAGGAACGUGCAGAGCCUCCUGCAAGCGAUUCUGAAAAUGAGGAUGUCAAUCAGCAU